RNAcentral lists this non-coding RNA (83 nucleotides) under pig gut metagenome. Its description in RNAcentral is "TPP riboswitch (THI element)". It matches the Rfam family "TPP riboswitch aptamer (THI element)", at positions 8 to 91 of the family's 105-position model. Rfam says of the family: Vitamin B(1) in its active form thiamin pyrophosphate (TPP) is an essential coenzyme that is synthesised by coupling of pyrimidine and thiazole moieties in bacteria. The previously detected thiamin-regulatory element, thi box was extended, resulting in a new, highly conserved RNA secondary structure, the THI element, which is widely distributed in eubacteria and also occurs in some archaea. The record is from RNAcentral.
GGCUAGGGGUGUCCCUGUGUGGGGCUGAGAUGAAGGAACCCUCAUUACUUGAACCGGUUCAUACCGGCGUAAGGAAGCAGGAU